GACGAACGCUGGCGGCGUGCUUAACACGUGCAAGUCGAACGGAAAGGCCCUGCUUUUGUGGGGUGCUCGAGUGGCGAACGGGUGAGUAACACGUGAGUAACCUGCCCUUGACUUUGGGAUAACUUCAGGAAACUGGGGCUAAUACCGGAUAGGAGCUCCUGCUGCAUGGUGGGGGUUGGAAAGUUUCGGCGGUUGGGGAUGGACUCGCGGCUUAUCAGCUUGUUGGUGGGGUAGUGGCUUACCAAGGCUUUGACGGGUAGCCGGCCUGAGAGGGUGACCGGCCACAUUGGGACUGAGAUACGGCGCAGACUCCUACGGGAGGCAGCAGUGGGGAAUAUUGCACAAUGGGCGGAAGCCCGAUGCAGCAACGCCGCGUGCGGGAUGACGGCCUUCGGGUUGUAAACCGCCUUCGCCUGUGACGAAGCGUGAGUGACGGUAAUGGGUAAAGAAGCACCGGCUAACUACGUG
This 468-nucleotide ribosomal RNA is filed under the name uncultured bacterium. Its description in RNAcentral is "partial 16S ribosomal RNA". It matches the Rfam family "Bacterial small subunit ribosomal RNA", at positions 28 to 507 of the family's 1533-position model. The record is from RNAcentral.